Molecule: ribosomal RNA, 606 nt
Filed under: Zygaena afghana afghana
Lineage: Eukaryota; Metazoa; Arthropoda; Insecta; Lepidoptera; Zygaenidae
Description: partial 12S ribosomal RNA
Source: RNAcentral
UGCGGUUAUACAAAAAUUAAAUUAAUUUUUUUUUAGGAUUUAAUAAAUAAGAGUUAAAUUAAUAAUUUAAAUUUUAAAUUAUAAGGUGAAAUUUUAAUUUAAUUAAAAUUUAUUUAUUUUUAUGAUAUUAAUAGAUUUUUUAAAAAACUAGGAUUAGAUACCCUAUUAUAAAAAUUUAAAUUUUAUAAUCUUAAAAUAGUAUAUAAUUUUUUAUAGAAACUUAAAUAAUUUGGCGGUAUUUUAGUUCAUUUAGAGGAAUCUGUCUAAUAAUUGAUAAUCCACGAUUAAAUUUACUUAAUUUUUAAUUUUGUAUAUCGUUGUUAAAAAAAUAUUUUUAAAUAAUUAUAAUAUUUUAAAAUUUAAAUAAAAAAUUAAAUCAGAUCAAGAUGCAGAUUAUAAUUAAGAAUAUGAUGGAUUACAAUAAAUUUUAUUUUAUUUGAAUAUUAAUUUGAAAUAAAUUAAUUGAAAUUGGAUUUAAAUGUAAUUUUAUUAAUUUUAAUAAAAUGAUUUAAAAUUAAAAUAUGUACAUAUUGCCCGUCGCUUUCAUUUAUAAAUUGAAAUAAGUCGUAACAAAGUAGAGGUACUGGAAAGUGUUUCUAGAAAGAU